Molecule: ribosomal RNA, 579 nt
Filed under: Neofusicoccum parvum
Lineage: Eukaryota; Fungi; Ascomycota; Dothideomycetes; Botryosphaeriales; Botryosphaeriaceae
Description: eukaryotic LSU rRNA
Rfam family: 5.8S ribosomal RNA (bases 209-362)
Source: RNAcentral
UCCGUAGGUGAACCUGCGGAAGGAUCAUUACCGAGUUGAUUCGAGCUCCGGCUCGACUCUCCCACCCAAUGUGUACCUACCUCUGUUGCUUUGGCGGGCCGCGGUCCUCCGCACCGGCGCCCUUCGGGGGGCUGGCCAGCGCCCGCCAGAGGACCAUAAAACUCCAGUCAGUGAACUUCGCAGUCUGAAAAACAAGUUAAUAAACUAAAACUUUCAACAACGGAUCUCUUGGUUCUGGCAUCGAUGAAGAACGCAGCGAAAUGCGAUAAGUAAUGUGAAUUGCAGAAUUCAGUGAAUCAUCGAAUCUUUGAACGCACAUUGCGCCCCUUGGUAUUCCGAGGGGCAUGCCUGUUCGAGCGUCAUUUCAACCCUCAAGCUCUGCUUGGUAUUGGGCCUCGUCCUCCACGGACGCGCCUUAAAGACCUCGGCGGUGGCGUCUUGCCUCAAGCGUAGUAGAAAACACCUCGCUUUGGAGCGCACGGCGUCGCCCGCCGGACGAACCUUUGAAUUAUUUCUCAAGGUUGACCUCGGAUCAGGUAGGGAUACCCGCUGAACUUAAGCAUAUCAAUAAGCGGAGGA